GUGAAGCACCUGACAUCAUUUGCUUAGUGAUCAUUAUCAGCAGUUCACCUCCUUCAUUGUCAUCCAGAUGGACACUUUGAACAGAGCAAAUGAUGUCUCAACUGUACCUGUUCCUUUUGUGGUCCUCCAUUCCUCUACUUCCUUGUGAAGAAGAGCGUGUGCUGCUCUCCCAAAUGCCCCGGUGGGUGAUACGGCAGCCUGAAGAAGACAUGGGCAAAAUACAAUGCUACCAGAACAACACAAAUCACAACUGGAUGUAUUGGUACCGGCAGAAGAAAGCACAAGGAAAGCUGGAACUCAUUGGCAGCAUAAUGAAAGGGAAUUCAGCCCCUGCGCUUGAAGAGGAGUUUGACGACCCAAGGUUCAAAAUAGAACAUGACCAAGACAAGCACUGCUCGCUGCAGAUAACCAAGCUGAUGCCCGAGGACACUGCUUUGUACUUCUGCGCCUCUAACCCACAGUGCUGCAAACCUCCAGGAACUCCCCACAAGAACAGGGCUAUGGGGUCUGCAUUUCUAAUGCCAGUAAUGGUGAAGACACAUGUAGCGUUUAAAGAGCGGUCACAAUGGGUUCUACGGUGAGAGCCCAGCUUCGCAAUUUAAACAAGAGAAAGA
Hemicordylus capensis (graceful crag lizard) is the source of this 614-nucleotide non-coding RNA. The record is from the annotation of a RefSeq genome assembly. Lineage: Eukaryota; Metazoa; Chordata; Lepidosauria; Squamata; Cordylidae.